This is a long non-coding RNA of Amphiprion ocellaris (clown anemonefish), 1264 nucleotides long. NCBI's taxonomy places the organism in Eukaryota, Metazoa, Chordata, Actinopteri, Pomacentridae. The record is from Ensembl.
CGGAUACACAGAUUGGACCGUUUUUUCUCUCACACAAUUUCGUGUUGUUUUUUUUAGAGGUUUAAACGUUACAACGGGACGCAGCAAAGACGGUGCCGUCGGGGUGAACUUGCUGGGCUUCGCGUCUCGUCGAAACCUCUGGAACUGUCAGGAAAAAAAAUUGAUUGAGAGUUAAGGUGUGGCUGAGGCUUUUUCUGUGAGGCUUCUGCGCUGAAAAAUGUCACUAAACCGACUGUUUGUUCUCGAGUCGGGGCUAAGGCUCCUACAUCUACCGUGGCUUUGCCGAUUCCGUCCAGUCAUUUUCAUUAAGGAAGAUAUUACAUAACAAAUGUAUUGUCAUCUUGAUGCGCGCACCUUUUUUCCCCCUUCUUUUUUGCUCAAGUCUCCCGCAGUAGUCUAGAUUAAUUGAACUAUUGCGCAGUUGAGAAGUAGUAAUUUCCACUUGAUUGCCGGGUCGUUUUGGUUUCAUAAGUCUGUGAAAUGUAACGGACGUGGCAACUUUACAGUAGCCAGCCCCGUUGAAUGCCACAGGCAAACUGGGCGUGGGGGGAAACGGUCCGAACAGAGUGUAAUAAUCCUCAAAUCCUCAAAAUUGCGCAUAUUUGUCACGGUGUGUCCGCACUGACAUGCGCCUCUCUGGAGCCGCUGGAUUGACCCGAAUCAAAUAUCUCCAGGUGCCCACAGUAGAUCUUCUUGCCUUCAAACCAACUUGAGAUCAUGGCAUCAGGAUGUUCUUCCAGGACUCUGCAGAGGGGCUUCGCAGAUGGAGAUGAAACCAGCCUGUGCUACUAGACCUGGGUGGCCUGUACCUGCGCCAGAUGUUUUGCCAGCUGUGGCGGGUUUCCCAGAGACUAUGGGUUGAGGAGGAAUUGGAAGUUUGUCGGCUUAGACCUGGUGUCAUUCCAUCAGUGUUAAACUUCCCGGCUCAUCUUGGAAGAGUACGUGCCAGAAAGACCACGACCAAGCAGCCUUGAGAUCUUAGGCAGCGUCUCCCUGAGGUCCCUCUCUAUCUCCACACAUCCACCAACCACUGGAACACAUCUCCAAAGUUCUGCUGGACCAGCUCAGCUUCCCCUCAGAAGAAGUGCUGCCACCUGCCAGAUGAAGGAGCCUUUUGAGAGGCAGCUGGCAUCGUGAUUGGACUGUACUUUGGUCUGUUCCAAUCCAGCUUCAGCUCCAGAGACGGCAGGCGGGACGAGUCAACGGAGGCCGGGUGGACGAAGGCAUGCAGCUGAGUACAAUCCAGAAAACAACAGUGGAGGAG